UACGAAGGGGGCUAGCGUUAAUCGGAAUUACUGGGCGUAAAGCGUGCGCAGGCGGCUUUGCAAGACGGAUGUGAAAUCCCCGGGCUCAACCUGGGAACUGCAUUUGUGACUGCAAGGCUAGAGUACGGUAGAGGGGGAUGGAAUUCCGCGUGUAGCAGUGAAAUGCGUAGAUAUGCGGAGGAACACCGAUGGCGAAGGCAAUCCCCUGGACCUGUACUGACGCUCAUGCACGAAAGCGUGGGGAGCAAACAGG
This 253-nucleotide ribosomal RNA is filed under the name uncultured bacterium. RNAcentral describes it as "partial 16S ribosomal RNA". It matches the Rfam family "Bacterial small subunit ribosomal RNA", at positions 524 to 776 of the family's 1533-position model. The record is from RNAcentral.